Pezoporus flaviventris is the source of this 763-nucleotide long non-coding RNA. RefSeq lists it as uncharacterized. The transcript has 2 exons. The record is from RefSeq and is a predicted model, not a curated record. Lineage: Eukaryota; Metazoa; Chordata; Aves; Psittaciformes; Psittacidae.
CAUACUGUUUCCAUGUGCUCUCCUCUCUCAUCACACCAACACACCUCCACUGGGUAUCACCACGCAUCACACUACCACCUGCAACCAUGCAACCCUACAGCCUCACUAUGUCUGCCUGUCACUCUGCCUCAGCUCUACUGAUCACAGAAUCAUAGAAUAGUUAGGGUUGGAAAGGACCUCAAAAACUUCACCACCGAACACCUAGUCGCUUGUGUACAUCAGAAUUACAAACUCUUAGUUUUAUGUAGGUUUUUAUGUUGUUGUGCUGAAAAGCCUGUUUGCUUUUCCCACAUACAUGGAUAUAUUAAAAUACACCUGGCCUCAUUUAAUUUCCCCAUAUUAGCAGACACAGGUAGAAUGCAAUGCACUAUUUCAGUUGGAAGGGACCUACAACAAUCAUCUAGUCCAACUGCCUGACCAAAGUUGGUCAGGGUGUCUGUAAGCUGACCAAAAGUUAAAGCAUGUUGUUGAGAGCAUUGUCCAAAUGCCUAUUAAAUACUGACAGGCUUGGGGCAUCAGCCACCUCUCUAGGAAGGCUGUUACUGUGUUUUACCAUUCUCUUGGUAAAGAAAUGCUUCCUAAUGUCCAGUCUAAACCUCCGCUGGUGCAGCUCUGAACCAUUCCUGCAAGUCCUAUCUCUUAUGACUUUUUCUUAAAUUAGAAAGAUAGUGUGUGGUGUUUGUAACACUGCAGUCUUCUAUAAGGAUGCCACCUCAUUUUUUACAAACAGGGCCUCAGCAAUUGCUAUCUUCAAAGAAAUCUA